CUUUGUUGUUGUUGCUAUUUCUUGGGCCGCUCCCGCGGCAUAUGGAGAUUCCCAGGCUAGGGGUUGAAUCGGAGCUGUAGCCACCGGCCUACGCCAGAGCCACAGCAACGUGGGAUCCGAGCCACGUCUGCAACCUACACCACAGCUCACGGCAACGCCAGAUCGUUAACCCACUGAGCAAGGGCAGGGACCGAACCCGCAACCUCAUGGUUCCUAGUCAGAUUCGUUAACCACUGCUCCACGACGGGAACUCCCGACAAUCACUUUUCAACAAAAACAGCUGAAAUGAUGCAGCAGUAAUUAAGAGGAAGAGACACAGAAAAUGAGAUGUACUUCAUGACCCACCCAUGGGCAAGAUAAAAAGGUGCUAUAUUCAGAAAAAAAUUAACGCUUUUAGUUAACUUUAAUAGUUAACUUUUAAAGAUACAUAAAGAAAAUUUAUAAGUGGGAAAAGAAAAUCCCAGAAAAGGGCCUCAUGAGAUGAGGGUAAAAUGUUAAUUCUUUCUCAGAGCUGUUGUUUUAUUUAUUACUAAAUAGAAGAUAGUAACGUUAUGCAUCAUUUAAGGACAAUGGAUUUAAUGAAAAGGGGCAAUAGUAGAUCUUUCAACCUAAAUGAAUGUGAAAGUCUGUCCCCAGUCAUUAAAUUUUACAUGUUCAAAAUUCAUUUCAGCUUCACUUUUCUCUCCCCCCACCAAAUCCAGACAUACUUCUUUUGGAGUCUCUGAGUUUAAAAACAACUCUGGAAGUUCCCAUUGUGGCUCAGCGGUAAUAAACCUGUCCAGUAUCCAUGAGGGUGCAGGUUCAAUCCCUGGCCCCGCUCAGUGUGUUAAGGAUCUGGUGUUUCUGUGAUUAUGAAAACAUCCCUACAUACCUCAUCCUUUGCUCUCAACCGCAUUCAAUCAGGGAUAUGGUGCUAUCAUCUUUGACCUCAUAAAUAUAUUGGAAGAAAUGUUUCCAUUUUCAUCCUCACUGUCCCCACAUUCAUGAGGCCCUCGCCUCCACAACUCGUUUUCAAAAUUGAGCUACAAGUAAUCAGAUGAAUGCAUUAAGGUAAUGAUCCUCAAAGGUCCUCACCAUCCCCCACGUGGACCAUUACACUUCCUGGAAGUUCGUCUCCCUGCCACAUGCCUCCCCCAAUUUGCUACCUUUUUUUUGCACACCCACAGAAUGACCAUUCACACUUCUGUGUCCUAUAUAAGAUAUUCCCUCUACUCGAAUGUACGUAUACUUCCCUUUUCACCUUCUAUAAUUCAUCUGUCAUCUCCAUCUCCCUCUGUGGAACCCUUUUGGUUGAGUUAGUUUCCUUUCUUCUGUGCUCCUUUAGUAUCUCUAUUUAUAUCUCAGUGAACUUGUUCCUCAAACUGUAGUCCAUUGGUCCAUAGUCUCCAUAGCCUGGGAGUUUGUGAAAAAUGUAGAAACUCAGGCUCUAGCCCAGACCUCCUGAAUCACAAUCUGCAUAUUAAGGAAAUCUGCAGGUGAUUCUUAUGCACAUAAAUGUUUGGGAUUUGUGACUAAAGAUGAGAUUAUCAGAGACUUGGAUCUCUGUCUUUUAUGCUGAACUCUGAGCUUCUCUAGAGGAGAACCACAUAUUUCAUUUCUGAAUCCCCUAGCAAAGUGUCAGUGGAUGCUGAGCCUUUAUAAUAUGUAAAUGAGUGAAAGAGAAAAUGAAAAUAGAUGGUUCAGUGGUCACCUAAGUAACCAAAACCAGGACUCCCCAGGCACAUCCAUAUCAGAGCCUUUCUACCACCUGUGCUGCGCCGCUUACAAAAUGUCUUUCUUUUCCAUUUCUAAACCUCAGAGAUGUUGGAUGACGCACUUACAGUCACAAGGCUAUUUUAAGUGGCAAAGAGGACACUAGAGUACAAGUUUUUCUCUUGACACUUAGUCGAGGAUCUUUCCACUUUGUCAUUUGGCAUCUGUGAAGAACAAAUGAGAAACACACUAAUUGAACUUCUGUUCUCACAAUUCAAGUUUCAAAGAGCAUCUGCCAUGAGGAAUAAAAAUAUAUUUGUGUUUCCCCAGUGUGCUUCAAUUCAGUCAGUCCUGGGUUACAGUCCAGUAAGUCAAGCUUAGUGAACAUGUUUAUCUCAAAUUUGCAGGAGAAGCCCCAACUGAAAUACAAAAAAGUAAGAAAUAAUUAGAAACAUAAUUAAUCAGUUUGCCAAUUCUAUUUUUUCUAUCUGGUUCAAUAAUUUGUAGAUUGUAAGAUUAAGUGCAUUUUUGCAGUACAUUUAAAAAAUGCAUAAUAAUGGUUGCAAACUUUCAUAAGACAUUUAUAUCCCAAAUGCCAUGUUUACUUAUGUAUUUCCAGUGUGCUUGAAUAUUUUGGGAAGGAAACAAAUAGGACAUUUAUAUAAUUGCCACCAAUAUGCUUUGCUUUGUUUCACUUUUGAAAUAACAGUCAUAUCAUGCCAUCCUAUCCGGUCAUAGAGGCAGCAAAUAUUUAUUACGUGUGCAUUAUGUGUCGGGAACUGUCAUAGGCUCUGCCCUCAGAAAAUUCCGCCUCCUUGAAUCUUAUAGAUUAAUUGGGAACGUAGCCAAAGAAGCAGGCAGUUAUAAUGAAGUUUUAUGAAGGCAAGUAAAAACACAUGUACCACAGGACAUCUAGGCAGAAAGAGCACUUGGUCCAGGCAUGGGAGGCCGGAAGAGUCUUUGCAAAGAUGACCAUGAAGCUAUGUCUUAAAGAAGAAUAUAACAUAAUUAGGCAGAUUGUGUCAGGUGGUACUUUGCAAAUAGAAAAACUGGAUGUUCAAAGACCCUAGUCCAAGAGAAAGAAUGGAAGGUUCAAAAUAGCUGCAAGUAACUCAGUGUAGCUAGAGCAGAAUUUUGCUGGUACAAGGAGGGGAAUUGUAUGGACAGUGAAGAGGGUUAAUGCUGGACAGGAAAGCAAGAGCAAGAUCAUGAGUUGUGCAGAAUACCCUGCAAAGGAAUUUGGACAUCAUUCUAAAUAAUGAGUUAACAUGUAAUGCAUUUCUAGUGCUUACUAUGGUCUUCUUGUUCUAAACUUAUCUCAUUUUGUCUUCAUAAUUGGUGCAUACUCUGAGUCCCGUUUUUACUCCUGAUUUUUUAGAUAGUGAAGCUGAAGCACAGAGACUAAAAGUACUUUAGCAAAGUUGUCCAGCUGGGUGUUAAUGGAGCUGGGUUCUUAAAUGUGAUGGAAAGCGACAUGAUGUAAUUUUUGUUUUGUAAAGAUUUUUCUGAGAGUGAAGAGAGAAUUUGAGAUGACAUUUCAGUAAUCCAAUUGAAAUAAACCAAAGACAUGAACUAAGUUGAUGCUAUAGGUAAGGAAAGAAGUAGAUGAGUAGAGAGAUGUUCAGGGGCUAAAAAUAGGACUGAGUUAUGUGUUGAUAAUGUGUGAGGCCAAGUAUGUGAUCAGAUGGACUUCUACAAACAGGUGUGAGUUCUAGAUUUUAGAUGUAUACAAUCAAAUAUACAUUUUCCAUGACAAUGGUUUUUUUCAUUAAAAUGACUAACCUAAGCAUCAACUAAUCUCAAAUUGAUGAGACAUAAUUUAAUGGUAAUAUAAUUUAAAUACAUAAAUUGAAAGACAUAAAUUGUACUUUAUUAAAAAUAUGUAACCAAACUGUGGUGUUACUUCAUUCUACCCUAUGUUGUUUAUAGUAUAGCUCCCUCUUGUUCUCCCUCUCUCUCUUUUUUCCUGCCAAUUCUAAUUUCUCAGCAGAAGAACCUCAUCUGUGACUAUUCUAAUUCUGGCAGGAACUCAAAAUUCAGGUUGUUUCCCUGCAAGUUUCAAUCUAUCCUUGAUAGAUGACUCAGAUUCCAGGUUGUGAAAUCUUCCUUGAUCACAAACCCUUUUCUACCUUGUCUCUAGUUAUCAUCCUUUGUAUGCCAAUGUCUACACUUAGGCUUUUCACCCUGUAAUGCUUGCCAUUCACAUACCUCUAAACUCUGCCCUGGAGUUCCCGUCGUGGUGCAGUGGUUACCAAAUCCGACUAGGAACCAUGAGGUUGAGGGUUCGAUCCCUGCCCUUGCUCAGUGGGUUGACGAUCCGGCGUUGCCGUGAGCUGUGGUGUAGGUUGCAGACACGGCUCGGAUCCAGCGUUGCUGUGGCUCUGGUGUAGGCGGGUGGCUACAGCUCUGAUUAGACCCCUAGCCUGGGAACCUCCAUAUGCCGCGGGAGCGGCCCCAGAAAAGACAAAAAAAAAAAAAAAGAAAGAAAAACUCUGCCCUCUUCUAACUCCGGAUCUGUAUUAUCAGCUUAUACCAAUCCACAGCUCAUCAACUUGUUCAUACGUAGUGAUCUUUUCUCUUCUGCUCUGAUUUUUUUUUUUGUAACAUUGAUAACAUUGUGAUAAAACUGACAUUUUUCAAACAUUAUGUUGUAUAUGAAUUUUACCCAUAAUCUAUAUUAAAGUGUCAACUAAUUAGUACUUUUUAGUUUUAUCUGGUGGCCUACUCCAUCUCUAAAAAGACACCUUUGAACUUCUAUCACUUAUUCUCAUGAUGUGCCUGUCCUUUUUCCUUGGAUGUAUCCCCAAGCUUUGAACUCUCCUUCAAUAUCUUCACCUCCUCAUCAUUAAAACAAUUAUCCGUGUGUGUUUAUAUUUUAGGUCUUCACCCAACUUUUCAUUCUGCUCUUCCAUAUUCUGACCAUUUCCACCAGGGCCAGUGUUCAGGACCAAUCUUACUAAUAGCCAUCAAUCUCCAUUUUAUAUUUGUUAUUAUUAGAAUAGCCAAAAUUGUCAUAGUACAUUGCCAUACUUUAAAGAUGAUCUAUCAUAAAGAAAUUGAUGAGGGAAGGAAAUUUUAUAUCAAUAAGAAGGUUGCAUUUAUGAAAACCUGAAAACAUAUAAAAUGAUAAUUUUCACCAGGGGAAAGAAAAAGAAGCUAAUAUAGUCUUUGUUAUCAAUUAUCUCAAUAAUUGUAAUGACAUUAUAAAUAAUAAGAAUAUAGCAAAUCAAUGCAAGUUUUGAAGAACACAAGAUCAAAAAAAGAUAGUGGACUUGGAACACAUUA
This 4977-nucleotide long non-coding RNA is filed under the name Sus scrofa (pig). Its description in RNAcentral is "lncRNA (ENSSSCG00065052691.1)". The record is from RNAcentral. Lineage: Eukaryota; Metazoa; Chordata; Mammalia; Artiodactyla; Suidae.